RNAcentral lists this ribosomal RNA (468 nucleotides) under uncultured bacterium. RNAcentral's name for it is "partial 16S ribosomal RNA". It matches the Rfam family "Bacterial small subunit ribosomal RNA", at positions 28 to 507 of the family's 1533-position model. The record is from RNAcentral.
GACGAACGCUGGCGGCGUGCUUAACACAUGCAAGUCGAACGGAAAGGCCCUUCUUUUGUGGGGUGCUCGAGUGGCGAACGGGUGAGUAACACGUGAGUACCCCGCCCUUUACUUUGGGAUAACUUCAGGAACCUGGGGCUAAUACCGGAUAGGAGCUCCUGCUGCAUGGUGGGGGUUGGAAAGUUUCGGCGGUUGGGGCUGGACUCGCGGCUUAUCAGCUUGUUGGUGGGGUAGUGGCUUACCAAGGCUUUGACGGGUAGCCGGCCUGGGAGGGUGACCGGCCACAUUGGGACUGAGAUACGGCCCAGACUCCUACGGGAGGCAGCAGUGGGGAAUAUUGCACAAUGGGCGGAAGCCUGAUGCAGCAACGCCGCGUGCGGGAUGACGGCCUUCGGGUUGUAAACCGCUUUCGCCUGUGACGAAGCGUGAGUGACGGUAAUGGGUAAAGAAGCACCGGCUAACUACGUG